UUAAGUUCAGCGGGUAGUCCUACCUGAUUUGAGGUCAGAUGACAUGAAAGUUUGUCCGAGGACGAUUGGAAGCGAGGUCGUCUUUUAAACAGAGGCUCUCGAGAUGAGACGGCGCCACAAGUGUUUCUUAUCACACCGUCCGUUGAUCAGGGGAGACCGACCGUACGACAGACCACAGCUGAUGCAUUUCGAGACGAGUC
Molecule: unclassified non-coding RNA, 200 nt
Filed under: Ramaria sp.
Lineage: Eukaryota; Fungi; Basidiomycota; Agaricomycetes; Gomphales; Gomphaceae
Description: partial internal transcribed spacer 2
Source: RNAcentral